CACGUAGGGCGCAAGCGUUGUCCGGAAUUAUUGGGCGUAAAGAGCUCGUAGGCGGUCUGUUGCGUCCGCUGUGAAAACUCGGGGCUUAACCCCGAGCCUGCAGUGGAUACGGGCAGACUAGAGGUAGGUAGGGGAGAAUGGAAUUCCCGGUGUAGCGGUGAAAUGCGCAGAUAUCGGGAGGAACACCGGUGGCGAAGGCGGCCCCCUGGGUCGGACCUGACGCUGAGGCGCGAAAGCGUGGGGAGCGAACAGG
RNAcentral lists this ribosomal RNA (253 nucleotides) under uncultured bacterium. Its description in RNAcentral is "partial 16S ribosomal RNA". It matches the Rfam family "Bacterial small subunit ribosomal RNA", at positions 524 to 776 of the family's 1533-position model. The record is from RNAcentral.